Molecule: non-coding RNA, 109 nt
Organism: Caenorhabditis elegans
Lineage: Eukaryota; Metazoa; Nematoda; Chromadorea; Rhabditida; Rhabditidae
Source: Ensembl
GUAGGCUUAGGCUUAGGCUUAGGCUUAGGCUUAGGCUUAGGCUAAGGCUUAGGCUUAGGCUUAGGCUUAGGCUUAGGCUUAGGCUUAGGCUUAGGCUUAGGCUUAGGCG